GUUCCCAACUCAAUCCAAAGUUUGUACAUUUGAAUAACCAAUACUUACAGCUAAUGAAUAUUCUACUCUAAUAAUGCAGCAGUCAAGUAUAGAAGGGGAUACAGGUGGGAUUUUCAGAGUUUUCCCAUUCCAGGUAUCUGUACUCCCAGAGGCAAUGUGGUUUCCUCGGACAUUGGCAACCAUCUGACGGAAGGUUUUUGUCUUCCCACUGGCCAGCUGGCUUUGAAGGGGGAGGAGGAGCGGAGGAAGGACCCUCUUACCAAGAGAGCUGGUGAGCUGACGUCGAUAUGGCUGAUGACCUGGAGCUCUGUCUGCACGCUCUGAUCGGGAGCUGCAGGCCUCUCCAGGAUGGCUUUCACAUAGUACUGAAUACUGCCAUACUUCCCAGUAAAAGAGGUCACCAGAGGCCUGAAACAAGCAGUCACAAAACCAUUACCCUUAAUUAAUAAUUCAGUUCCAAACGUGAGCACUUCCCGCGUACACGAACAUUUAACCAAUUUACAGCUCAUACUUUUAGGGCCUGGGGGAAACUGAAGCCAACAAGGCCUGUCUGUGGGGUCUGAUUAAGAGAAACAUAUAAAGCUGAUACUAAAAAAAACACAAGUCAAAUUACAUUAAGAUAAUGUUGCACUACAAGCAGCGUCCAGCACAAUCCCUUCAGGUUGGAUUAUUUAACUUACUCUUGAGGGAGCUGAAAGCUGAACGGAAAUUCGUGUCUUCCAUCUAGAAGAAUUAAGUUUUCCUCACCUGUAGGAUGAAAAUGAAUAGUAUGUUUUAGUUAUUCCAGAAAUAGAACAAAGCAGAUGCUUUUAUAAGUUAUUUAUGUAUAAGAACACCCAGAUACAAGAAGUUUUUAUUGAUCCCA
Pipra filicauda (Wire-tailed manakin) is the source of this 865-nucleotide long non-coding RNA. RefSeq lists it as uncharacterized. NCBI's taxonomy places the organism in Eukaryota, Metazoa, Chordata, Aves, Passeriformes, Pipridae. The record is from RefSeq and is a predicted model, not a curated record. The transcript is spliced from 2 exons.